AGAGUUUGAUCAUGGCUCAGGAUGAACGCUAGCGGCAGGCUUAAUGCAUGCAAGUCGAGGGGUAACAGGGGAGCUUGCUCUCGCUGACGACCGGCAAACGGGUGCGGAACACGUACAGAACCUUCCUUCGAGCGGGGAAUAGCCCAGAGAAAUUUGGAUUAAUACCCCAUAGUAUUACGGAGUGGCAUCACUUUGUAAUUAAAGAUUUAUCACUUGAAGAUGGCUGUGCGGCUGAUUAGGUAGUUGGCGGGGUAACGGCCCACCAAGCCUUCGAUCAGUAACUGGUGUGAGAGCACGACCAGUCACACGGGCACUGAGACACGGGCCCGACUCCUACGGGAGGCAGCAGUAAGGAAUAUUGGUCAAUGGACGAAAGUCUGAACCAGCCAUGCCGCGUGGAGGAUGAAGGCCCUCUGGGUUGUAAACUUCUUUUAUAUGGGACGAAAAAAGAUCUUUCUAGGUCACCUGACGGUACCAUAUGAAUAAGCACCGGCUAACUCCGUGCCAGCAGCCGCGGUAAUACGGAGGGUGCAAGCGUUAUCCGGAUUCACUGGGUUUAAAGGGUGCGUAGGUGGGUUGGUAAGUCAGUGGUGAAAUCUCCGAGCUUAACUUGGAAACUGCCAUUGAUACUAUCAGUCUUGAAUAUUGUGGAGGUCAGCGGAAUAUGUCAUGUAGCGGUGAAAUGCUUAGAUAUGACAUAGAACACCAAUUGCGAAGGC
This 719-nucleotide ribosomal RNA is filed under the name uncultured bacterium. Its description in RNAcentral is "bacterial SSU rRNA". It matches the Rfam family "Bacterial small subunit ribosomal RNA", at positions 8 to 722 of the family's 1533-position model. The record is from RNAcentral.